AUGUACCCCCGUACAUUCCGGCUCCGCGCCGUCCGCACCCACCUGACAACUGCUCGCUAAGUUUUGUUAGCC
This 72-nucleotide small RNA is filed under the name Xanthomonas campestris. RNAcentral describes it as "sX9 sRNA". It matches the Rfam family "Xanthomonas sRNA sX9". Lineage: Bacteria; Pseudomonadati; Pseudomonadota; Gammaproteobacteria; Lysobacterales; Lysobacteraceae. The record is from RNAcentral.